UACGGGGGGGGCGAGCGUUGUUCGGAAUUACUGGGCGUAAAGGGUUUGUAGGUGGCCUGCUAAGUCAGACGUGAAAUCCCUCAGCUUAACUGGGGAACUGCGUCUGAUACUGGAUGGCUAGAGGUUGGGAGAGGGAUGCGGAAUUCCAGGUGUAGCGGUGAAAUGCGUAGAUAUCUGGAGGAAUACCGGUGGCGAAGGCGGCAUCCUGGACCGGCAUUGACGCUGAGGAGCGAAAGCCAGGGGAGCAAACGGG
RNAcentral lists this ribosomal RNA (253 nucleotides) under uncultured bacterium. RNAcentral's name for it is "partial 16S ribosomal RNA". It matches the Rfam family "Bacterial small subunit ribosomal RNA", at positions 524 to 776 of the family's 1533-position model. The record is from RNAcentral.